GUGACGCCAGGAGCCCAGACCACUGCCGGGGCCCUCCCCGCCCUGACAGGUCAGCGCCCAGCAGCGUCAGGCCUCCCAGCAGAAGGUGUGGUGCCGACCAGGUCCAGAGGGGCUUGGCCUCCUCUGCCUGGGACGGUCGGGAGCGGGGACAGGCUGGCCUCCACCCGGGUGGCAGAGGGUCCGUUUUCUUACUCAAACUGGUGAAAAGGCCCAGAGGAGCGGCCCAGACCCUCACAGUGGCCCCGGUGCAGGUUGCGGAAGGUCCAGGCCCUACCUUCGGGUCGUCCGACAGCAAGCUGGCCUCAGCCCAGGGACCCAGGACACCCCCAGGCCACAGGCCGGAGCUCAGCCUGGGGCAGAGGCCACAGGAAGCCCAAGUCCUCCUGCCUGUGGGCAGAAGAGAGGCCCAUCUCCUCUGAGCGCCACAGCCACAGCACAGAGUGGACAGGCGCUCUCCCCACCCAGCCCCGGCCCUCUCCCUCCACACCUGUCAGUCCGGAGCCAUGGCACUGGGGCCCCAUGGAGCCGGGCAGCUGUGUAAGCGAGGGCUGGGAGGUCAGUGUGAGCACAGAGUCUGGGUCAGAGCCCCAGCUUCGUCCCCCUGCCUGUGCGCUGUAGGCCCUCUCGCCCUCUCUGGGCCUCAGUGCCGCGUCUCGACACCACGGGAGUUUUUAACCUCUCACUUCCACCAGGGCGACUCCCAGGCUGCUGGGUGGAUUAAAUAAGCUAUCGGUUGGCCACAUAGACAGAGGCUGGGCCAAAGGAACAUGGAUUCGAGUCCUGCUCUGACCUGUCCCAAGCCUUGGACGGCCACCACCCUCCUGAGCUGGCUUUGACCCAGGAGAUGGGAGUGAGGGCGCACCUUGGAGACCAGGCGAAGGGGCACGGUGCCUCGGUCCUGGUUAUUUACAUGCUGGGAGUCGGCUGGCGAGCGGCGGUGUUUCCAGAAAGGGAGGAAGAACCCACCGGUGGGUCUGGAGCAUGGGCCGUGUCCUGGGGGCUUCAGGAGUGUGCUCACACUGGGGCUCCCCAGACGCCAGCACCCUCUCCUCUGUGUGCUCCGGACAGCUGACAGGUUGUGCCUGGGCACCUGCUGAGGGUGGGCCUGAUCCCAC
This 1115-nucleotide long non-coding RNA is filed under the name Marmota monax (woodchuck). The record is from RNAcentral. Lineage: Eukaryota; Metazoa; Chordata; Mammalia; Rodentia; Sciuridae.